UGCUUUGGUCUGUCUUGCCUCUAUUUGGUUGGAAUGGUAUAAGCUUGCCUGACUGUGAGACCGACUGGGCAAACAGAGAUGAAAGUCGGCCAUAGUGAUCCAGGAGUCCAGUGUGGAAGGGCUUUCGCUCAA
Molecule: non-coding RNA, 132 nt
Filed under: Amborella trichopoda
Lineage: Eukaryota; Viridiplantae; Streptophyta; Magnoliopsida; Amborellales; Amborellaceae
Source: Rfam by way of RNAcentral